This 497-nucleotide ribosomal RNA is filed under the name uncultured bacterium. Its description in RNAcentral is "partial 16S ribosomal RNA". It matches the Rfam family "Bacterial small subunit ribosomal RNA", at positions 28 to 507 of the family's 1533-position model. The record is from RNAcentral.
GAUGAACGCUGGCGGCGUGCCUAAUACAUGCAAGUCGAGCGAACGGACGAGAAGCUUGCUUCUCUGAUGUUAGCGGCGGACGGGUGAGUAACACGUGGAUAACCUACCUAUAAGACUGGGAUAACCUCGGGAAACCGGAGCUAAUACCGGAUGAUAUUUUGAACCGCAUGGUUCAAAAGUGAAAGACGGUCUUGCUGUCACUUAUAGAUGGAUCCGCGCUGCAUUAGCUAGUUGGUAGGGUAACGGCUUACCAAGGCAACGAUGCAUAGCCGACCUGAGAGGGUGGUCGGCCACACGAGAACUUAGACACGGACCAGACUCCUACGGGAGGCAGCAGUAGGGAAUCUUCCGCAGUGGGCGGGAGCCUGACGGAGCAACGCCGCGUGAGUGAUGAAAGUCUUCGGAUCGUGAAACUCUGUUAUUAGGGAAGAACAUAUGUGUAAGGAACUGUGCACAGCUUGACGGUACCUAGUCAGAAAGCCACGGCUAACUACGUG